CAUGCAAGAAGCAGAGACCACUUCUCCCUUACACUGCCCCACGUCCAGAGCAGCUCUGUCUCAUUAAAUACCAGGAAAGUGAGAAAUGCCACCACAUUAAGAGUGUUUUCCAUCAGUUAACAACCACAAUCAAAGCAGGAACAUUUGGAGAAGCUGAAGCACUUUGCCACAGGCAGGAACGUCUCAGUGCCCUUUGGAGUUCUGCAGGAAAAUGAAGAGACAAGCCAGUUCACACCUGAGUGAUGUUUGACUUUACAAGGAAUUAAUGCAAUAAAUCAUUAUUUCUGCACAAA
Molecule: long non-coding RNA, 293 nt
Organism: Pogoniulus pusillus (Red-fronted tinkerbird)
Lineage: Eukaryota; Metazoa; Chordata; Aves; Piciformes; Lybiidae
Exons: 2
Source: RefSeq, a predicted model, not a curated record